GACGAACGCUGGCGGCGUGCUUAACACAUGCAAGUCGAACGGAAAGGCCCCUUCGGGGGUACUCGAGUGGCGAACAGGUGAGUAACACGUGAGUAACCUGCCCUUGACUUCGGGAUAACUUCAGGAAACUGGGGCUAAUACCGGAUAGGAAUCCUUGCUGCAUGGAGGGGGUUGGAAAGCUUCGGCGGUUUUGGAUGGACUGGCGGCUUAUCAGCCUGUUGGUGGGGUAGUGGCUUACCAAGGCUUUGACGGGUAGCCGGCCUGAGAGGGCGACCGGCCACAUUGGGACUGAGGGACGGCCCAGUCUCCUACGGGAGGCAGCAGUGGGGAAUCUUGCACAAUGGGCGGAAGCCUGAGGCAGCAACGCCGCGUGCGGGAUGACGGCCUUCGGGUUGUAAACCGCUUUCAGCAGGGGCGAAGCUUGUGGUGACGGUACCUGCAGAAGAAGCACCGGCUAACUACGUG
This 465-nucleotide ribosomal RNA is filed under the name uncultured bacterium. RNAcentral describes it as "partial 16S ribosomal RNA". It matches the Rfam family "Bacterial small subunit ribosomal RNA", at positions 28 to 507 of the family's 1533-position model. The record is from RNAcentral.